GUCCCGCAACGAGCGCAACCCUUAUCCCCAGUUGCCAUCAGGUAAAGCUGGGAACUCUGGGGAGACUGCCGGUGAUAAACCGGAGGAAGGCGGGGAUGACGUCAAGUCCUCAUGGCCCUUACAUCCCGGGCUACACACGUGCUACAAUGGCAGGUACAGAGGGCUGCGAAGCCGCGAGGUGGAGCGAAUCCCAGAAAACCUGUCUCAGUCCGGAUUGAAGUCUGCAACUCGACUUCAUGAAGGCGGAAUCGCUAGUAACCGCGAAUCAGCAGGUCGCGGUGAAUACGUUCCCGGGCCUU
RNAcentral lists this ribosomal RNA (299 nucleotides) under uncultured Latescibacterota bacterium. Its description in RNAcentral is "uncultured Latescibacteria bacterium partial 16S ribosomal RNA". It matches the Rfam family "Bacterial small subunit ribosomal RNA", at positions 1084 to 1382 of the family's 1533-position model. Lineage: Bacteria; Pseudomonadati; Candidatus Latescibacterota. The record is from RNAcentral.